RNAcentral lists this ribosomal RNA (390 nucleotides) under uncultured bacterium. RNAcentral's name for it is "partial 16S ribosomal RNA". It matches the Rfam family "Bacterial small subunit ribosomal RNA", at positions 355 to 735 of the family's 1533-position model. The record is from RNAcentral.
UGGGAAAUAUUGCACAAUGGGCGCAAGCCUGAUGCAGCCAUGCCGCGUGUGUGAAGAAGGCCUUCGGGUUGUAAAGCACUUUCAGCGAGGAGGAAGGUGGUGAACUUAAUACGUUCAUCAAUUGACGUUACUCGCAGAAGAAGCACCGGCUAACUCCGUGCCAGCAGCCGCGGUAAUACGAGGGUGCAAGCGUUAAUCGGAAUUACUGGGCGUAAAGCGCACGCAGGCGGUUUGUUAAGUCAGAUGUGAAAUCCCCGGGCUCAACCUGGGAACUGCAUUUGAAACUGGCAAGCUAGAGUCUCGUAGAGGGGGGUAGAAUUUCCAGGUGUAGCGGUGAAAUGCGGUAGAGAUCUGGAGGAAUACCGGUGGCGAAGGCGGCCCCCCUGGACG